This 449-nucleotide ribosomal RNA is filed under the name uncultured bacterium. Its description in RNAcentral is "partial 16S ribosomal RNA". It matches the Rfam family "Bacterial small subunit ribosomal RNA", at positions 338 to 795 of the family's 1533-position model. The record is from RNAcentral.
CCUACUGGUGGCUGCAGUGGGGAAUUUUGGACAAUGGGCGCAAGCCUGAUCCAGCCAUUCCGCGUGAGUGAAGAAGGCCUUCGGGUUGUAAAGCUCUUUCGCCAGGGAAGAAAACUUAUCCUCUAACAUAGGAUGAGGUUGACGGUACCUUGAUAAGAAGCACCGGCUAACUACGUGCCAGCAGCCGCGGUCAUACGUAGGGUGCGAGCGUUCAUCGGAAUUACUGGGGGUAAAGUGUGCGCCAGAUGUUAAAUCCCCGAGCUCAACUUGGGAACUGCGUUUGAAACUACAAGACUAGAAUAGGUCAGAGGGGGGUAGAAUGCCACGUGUAGCAGUGAAAUGCGUAGAGAUGUGGAGGAAUAUCAAUGGCGAAGGCAGCCCCCUGGGAUCAUAUUGACGCUCAUGCACGAAAGCGUGGGGAGCAAACAGGAUUAGAUACCCGUGUAGUC